AUACGUAGGUGACAAGCGUUAUCCGGAUUUACUGGGCGUAAAGGGCGUGUAGGCGGUCUUGCAAGUCAGAAGUGAAAUUCCUGAGCUCAACUCGGGCGCUGCUUCUGAAACUGCAGGACUUGAGUGCUGGAGGGGAUAGCGGAAUUCCUGGUGUAGCGGUGAAAUGCGUAGAUAUCAGGAGGAACACCGGUGGCGAAGGCGGCUUGCUGGGCUUUUACUGACGCUGAGGCUCGAAAGCGUGGGUAGCAAACAGGAUUAGAUACCCUGGUAGUCCACGCUGUAAACGAUGAUUACUAGGUGUGGGGGGACUGACCCCUUCCGUGCCGCAGUUAACACAAUAAGUAAUCCACCUGGGGAGUACGGCCGCAAGGUUGAAACUCAAAUGAAUUGACGGGG
RNAcentral lists this ribosomal RNA (396 nucleotides) under uncultured bacterium. Its description in RNAcentral is "partial 16S ribosomal RNA". It matches the Rfam family "Bacterial small subunit ribosomal RNA", at positions 523 to 918 of the family's 1533-position model. The record is from RNAcentral.